Molecule: long non-coding RNA, 179 nt
Organism: Capra hircus (goat)
Lineage: Eukaryota; Metazoa; Chordata; Mammalia; Artiodactyla; Bovidae
Exons: 3
Source: RefSeq, a predicted model, not a curated record
AUAAGACAUCUACUGUGGCUGGGCUUGCUGGUCUCUGCACCAUGAGAAACAGCUAUCUAAGUUUGCUUCCAGGACUCUUGGUGCUGCUGCUGUUUCCAAUGGGACCUACAGCCCAGAACAGUAAAGCCUGCGCUCUGUGGUGCCCUCCGAACUCCUCAUGUGUCAAUGGCACCGCCUGC